Molecule: transfer RNA, 75 nt
Filed under: Gemmatimonadales bacterium
Lineage: Bacteria; Pseudomonadati; Gemmatimonadota; Gemmatimonadia; Gemmatimonadales
Description: tRNA-Val
Rfam family: tRNA
About the family: Transfer RNA (tRNA) molecules are approximately 80 nucleotides in length.
Source: RNAcentral
GGGCGCUUAGCUCAGUUGGUUUAGAGCGCUUGCCUUACAAGCAAGAGGUCGCAGGUUCGAAUCCUGCAGCGCCCA